This 594-nucleotide ribosomal RNA is filed under the name uncultured bacterium. RNAcentral describes it as "bacterial SSU rRNA". It matches the Rfam family "Bacterial small subunit ribosomal RNA", at positions 338 to 921 of the family's 1533-position model. The record is from RNAcentral.
CCUACGGGGAGGCAGCAGUGGGGAAUUUUGGACAAUGGGCGCAAGCCUGAUCCAGCCAUGCCGCGUGAGUGAAGAAGGCCUUCGGGUUGUAAAGCUCUUUCGGUAGGAACGAAAUGGUUCGUGCUAAUACCACGGACUGAUGACGGUACCUGAAGAAGAAGCACCGGCUAACUACGUGCCAGCAGCCGCGGUAAUACGUAGGGUGCAGGCGUUAAUCGGAAUUACUGGGCGUAAAGCGUGCGCAGGCGGUUUCUUAAGUCAGAUGUGAAAGCCCCGGGCUUAACCUGGGAACUGCGUUUGAAACUGGGAGACUAGAGUGUGGCAGAGGGGGGUGGAAUUCCGACGUGUAGCAGUGAAAUGCGUAGAUAUGUGGAGGAACACCGGAUGGCGAAGGCAGCCCCCUGGGUUAACACUGACGCUCAUGCACGAAAGCGUGGGGAGCAAACNGGAUUAGAUACCCUGGUAGUCCACGCCCUAAACUAUGUCAACUGGUUGUCGGGGGAUUAGCUCCCUUGGUAACGAGCUAACGCGUGAAGUUGACCGCCUGGGGAGUACGGCCGCAAGGUUAAAACCNCAAAGGAAUUGACGGCUGAG